This 451-nucleotide RNase P RNA is filed under the name Verrucomicrobiota bacterium. Its description in RNAcentral is "Verrucomicrobia bacterium RNase P RNA component class A". It matches the Rfam family "Bacterial RNase P class A". From Rfam's summary of the family: Ribonuclease P (RNase P) is a ubiquitous endoribonuclease, found in archaea, bacteria and eukarya as well as chloroplasts and mitochondria. Lineage: Bacteria; Pseudomonadati; Verrucomicrobiota. The record is from RNAcentral.
ACAUGAUGGCAGACGAUCGCUGGUGAGUCGCGAGGCUCGCUAGAGGAAAGUCCGAACACCAUACGGCAGCAUGCCGCGUAGAAAACGCGGGCGUUGCAGUUGAAAAAUUGCGGCGACGGACAGUGUCACAGAAAACACACCGCCGGUUCUUUGAGAGAAGUGCAGGCAAGGGUGAAAAGGCGAGGUAAGAGCUCACCGCGUCCCGCUUAAGGGGGAUGGCAGGAAAAACCCCAUGCGGUGCAAGACAAAACAGGAGGAGGACAGCCGGUCCGCCAAUGCCUCGAAGAAAUUCGGGGCCGAUCUCCGGGUAUCGUCGCACCAGAUAAACCUGUAGCGGCGGUCUAUGACCGCCGGGCGUUUAUCGGCAUCUGGAGAAAUCUUGAUGAGAUAAAUGAUCGUCCCGGCUGAGAAAUCAGCCGGACAGAAUUCGGCUUACCGCCAUCACAUUAUG